CAAAAAUGCUUUAACACAUUAUAUCAAUUCAAAAAUCAGAUUAAAACAACAAAAAGUAAUAAAAACCUAAACGUGCAAACCCCAUCAUAUGAUAAUGGUCAAAAUGAUAAGGAUUUAUUUUUAGAGAGUUGUAACUUUUCAGAUAAACCCAGCAGCUCUUGGCGAAGUGUUUGCUCAUUCUGCCAGUCAGAGGACUGACCUCAGACUUUGGUCAAGGUUUGGUAACACUAAAACUAAGUCCAGUGAAUGCUACAUUACAAUGUUGACUUCAA
Long non-coding RNA from Poecilia latipinna (sailfin molly), 272 nucleotides. RefSeq lists it as uncharacterized. The transcript has 3 exons. NCBI's taxonomy places the organism in Eukaryota, Metazoa, Chordata, Actinopteri, Cyprinodontiformes, Poeciliidae. The record is from RefSeq and is a predicted model, not a curated record.